RNAcentral lists this ribosomal RNA (254 nucleotides) under uncultured bacterium. Its description in RNAcentral is "partial 16S ribosomal RNA". It matches the Rfam family "Bacterial small subunit ribosomal RNA", at positions 524 to 776 of the family's 1533-position model. The record is from RNAcentral.
UACGGGGGGAGCAAGCGUUGUUCGGAUUUACUGGGCGUAAAGGGCGCGUAGGCGGCCAUCGCAAGUCGACGGGGAAAUCUCCGGGCUUAACCCGGAAAGGCCAGCCGAUACUGCGGGGCUAGAGUGCAGAAGGGGCGACUGGAAUUCUCGGUGUAGCGGUGAAAUGCGUAGAUAUCGAGAGGAACACCUGCGGCGAAGGCGGGUUGCUGGGCUGACACUGACGCUGAGGCGCGAAAGCUAGGGGAGCGAACAGG